This 478-nucleotide ribosomal RNA is filed under the name uncultured bacterium. Its description in RNAcentral is "bacterial SSU rRNA". It matches the Rfam family "Bacterial small subunit ribosomal RNA", at positions 28 to 496 of the family's 1533-position model. The record is from RNAcentral.
GAUGAACGCUAGCGAUAGGCCUAACACAUGCAAGUCGAGGGGCAUCACAUGAAGUAGCAAUACGGAUGGUGGCGACCGGCGCACGGGUGAGUAACACGUAUGCAACCUGCCUUCAACAAGGGGAUAACCCGUUGAAAGACGGACUAAUACCCUAUAACACAGGGGUCCCGCAUGGGAAUAUUUGUUAAAGGACAACCGGUUGAAGAUGGGCAUGCGUUCCAUUAGCUAGUUGGCGGGGUAACGGCCCACCAAGGCAACGAUGGAUAGGGGAACUGAGAGGUUUAUCCCCCACACUGGUACUGAGACACGGACCAGACUCCUACGGGAGGCAGCAGUGAGGAAUAUUGGUCAAUGGACGCAAGUCUGAACCAGCCACGUCGCGUGAAGGAAGACGGCCCUACGGGUUGUAAACUUCUUUGUAAGGGAAUAAAGUGUAGUACGCGUACUAUUUUGCAUGUACCGUAUGAAUAAGGAUCGG